RNAcentral lists this ribosomal RNA (614 nucleotides) under Pleosporales sp. EXP0177F. RNAcentral describes it as "eukaryotic LSU rRNA". The stretch from base 293 to 446 matches the Rfam family "5.8S ribosomal RNA". The record is from RNAcentral. Lineage: Eukaryota; Fungi; Ascomycota; Dothideomycetes; Pleosporales.
GGAUCAUUACUGUAGGAACUGUGGCGGCUGCUGUCUUGAAGAUGAGCUCUGCAUCAAAGCCUCGGAGGGCCUCUGGCCCUCUUUCUACCGCCGGUACACUUGUGUGCUAGGCAUGAGAGGCUGCUUCUGGUGCAGUGGCAAGCUUCGGGCAGCUUCUUGCUGCAGAUCCAAACCUUCUACCCUUGUCUAUGAGCACCUCUUGUUUCCUCGGCGGGCUCGCCCGCCAGAGGACCUUAUAAAACCCUUUUGCAAUACCUGUAGUACUGUCUGAUAGCGAAAGCAAUAAAAUCAAAACUUUCAACAACGGAUCUCUUGGUUCUGGCAUCGAUGAAGAACGCAGCGAAAUGCGAUAAGUAGUGUGAAUUGCAGAAUUCAGUGAAUCAUCGAAUCUUUGAACGCACAUUGCGCCCUUUGGUAUUCCUUAGGGCAUGUCUGUUCGAGCGUCAUUUAACCCUUCAAGCUUUGCUUGGUGUUGGGCGUCUUUGUCUCCGCCUCAGCGUGGAGACUCGCCUUAAAAUCAUCGGCGUCGGUAGUUAUCAGCCUAGAGCGCAGCAGAAAUCGCGUCUCGAAGCCUGACCAUCCGCCUGCCGCAACCCCCCCCAAAACUUGACCUC